Molecule: ribosomal RNA, 669 nt
Filed under: Enterobacter hormaechei
Lineage: Bacteria; Pseudomonadati; Pseudomonadota; Gammaproteobacteria; Enterobacterales; Enterobacteriaceae
Description: bacterial SSU rRNA
Rfam family: Bacterial small subunit ribosomal RNA
Source: RNAcentral
UUGGAGGUUGUGCCCUUGAGGCGUGGCUUCCGGAGCUAACGCGUUAAGUCGACCGCCUGGGGAGUACGGCCGCAAGGUUAAAACUCAAAUGAAUUGACGGGGGCCCGCACAAGCGGUGGAGCAUGUGGUUUAAUUCGAUGCAACGCGAAGAACCUUACCUACUCUUGACAUCCAGAGAACUUUCCAGAGAUGGAUUGGUGCCUUCGGGAACUCUGAGACAGGUGCUGCAUGGCUGUCGUCAGCUCGUGUUGUGAAAUGUUGGGUUAAGUCCCGCAACGAGCGCAACCCUUAUCCUUUGUUGCCAGCGGUCCGGCCGGGAACUCAAAGGAGACUGCCAGUGAUAAACUGGAGGAAGGUGGGGAUGACGUCAAGUCAUCAUGGCCCUUACGAGUAGGGCUACACACGUGCUACAAUGGCGCAUACAAAGAGAAGCGACCUCGCGAGAGCAAGCGGACCUCAUAAAGUGCGUCGUAGUCCGGAUUGGAGUCUGCAACUCGACUCCAUGAAGUCGGAAUCGCUAGUAAUCGUGGAUCAGAAUGCCACGGUGAAUACGUUCCCGGGCCUUGUACACACCGCCCGUCACACCAUGGGAGUGGGUUGCAAAAGAAGUAGGUAGCUUAACCUUCGGGAGGGCGCUUACCACUUUGUGAUUCAUGACUGGGGUGAAUC